UAGGUCAGAAAGUAUUCAUUCCCCAAUUAUCACAAUCACCUAUUCCGUGCCAAAAUGAUUGCAAACUAGCCCUUCGCCGCCUUGGAUACCAGCGACCAAUUCCACUCACCGUUCAUUAAUGGUGGAUAUAGAUGGAGAGACCGAAUAAUUCAUAAACACGAAACCAUUAAAGAUUCAGUAUGCGUGUUGAAAUGUCAUGGUAGAGAGGAAACGGGGGAAGAAAUAGACUAAAUAACUAAGUUUGAAGGUUAUAUUAGGUAAAUACAGCUGCCACCAAACCAAAGACCAGACCGGUAAACCACCAUCAGAGUGAUUCAACUCCAACAACUGGGAAUUCAGUUGAGGGCUGCAACCAUUCCAUAUUUCCAUAGAUAAGUUCCAAUUUUAUCUUUGAUAUUUAGAAAUUGAAAUUGUUUUCAAUUUAUAACUGCUUUCUAGCUCGUUGUGCUCUUUUGAAUACGAAGUUGAGACGAAUUUAUUAUUAUUUAUUAACAAUUUAUUUGUUGCAUUACAUUUCUUUAUGUUUCACAGCAAUAAAUAUUAAUUGAAGUAUCAUGUCCAGGGAUGGUUUGUUUAUUUAAUUCAUAAUGUGUUUCUAGCUUUUCCACAUUAUUCUAUUCACUAUAAAGUCGUUCGUUAAAAAGCUGGUAGCGUCCAAUUUAAUAUUGACUGUGCUCUGAAGCAAUUGCAUAUUUCCCGUCUAGUAUUUGCAGUAUGAUUCCCUAGUAAAAUGAUCGUUCUUUCUAUAAUUAGUUUUUAUCAAGAGUUUCGACAUAACUCUGCCAUUACGAUUUAUACCCUAGAAACCACUCCAAACACUUUGAUAUCAACCAAACAUAUCUAGCUUGGAACUUUACUCCCAUGAGUCAGAAUAUACCAGGUUAAUCCAUUAGUCUUAUAUCUUUUAUUUCUAUUCAGUCGCAGUUAUUUUGUACGCCCCAGCUUAAUGUGUAAUAAUGCAGAGAACUAUGAAAGGAAAUCAUGUCAGAUUUAAUUACUUCAUAUCCCAACUUGGGAAAUAAUAUGAUUGUUGUGAGUACGUCGCAAUAAAAUACCAAAGUAUAUAUACAGAGCUUUCGAUUAACUAUGUAUUAAUCAUCAGCGAUGCAAAUCAACUGUAAAAAAGACAAUGAACGUAUGGAGUUUGUUCAAUUUCACGUUCGUUGUUAUUUUAAAAGUUGUAUUUUAUAUUAUAUCCACGACUGUUGUAUAGUAAACACGGCUAUGAUUAAUGAAUCCAUUAAUCGCAGCUAUCAGAUACUUGUUUGAUUUAGCUAUAAAAUUAUAUUUUUCUGCUACAAAGAAUCUGUUUUUGAAAUUUUAUCAUGUAAACCACUGAUACUAAUAAAAUUAAAAAAAAAGAAAAUUUAUAAACCGUUAUCGAAACAGGGACCCGUAGUUGAAAAACGCGGAGCAUCUACAGUCAUCAGCGACUUGGAAUGUGUGUUGUACAUCGUUUCUUAACAUAUUUUGUUUUUCUAAACAAUUUAUAAAUCGAAGUAGCUUUUAGAACAAAAAAAAUACUGAAACCUGUUGAAAUUAUUGUUUGUGUGCAUAGAUUACUCAGUGUUCUAAUAUUUGAUGUCAAAUUGUGUUGAAAUAUCGAAUAAAAAUGGAUGUAGGAAAUGGAAAUGACUUUUCUUUAACACCACUAGAGAAAAUGUUGAAGUGCCUCAAUAAAUUUAUUGCCAGAAAAGUCAAGGAAAUUAUAUAAGAUGGUCUAUGAAUUUAUUUAAUCUGGCAAAAUGAAUUAUUAGUAAUUAGAAAUAAAUACCACCAUCUUGUAGGAUUAAAUACUUAAUAUUUGUUAAGCCAAAUACAUAGAUUUUUGUGUUAAUUAUCUUAAGAUAUUCUACAAUUAUUUCCGAUAACUAUGUACUGUGAAUAAAUGAACAAUUAUAUAUCGUAUGAAAUAUUUGUUGGAAUAAAAUAAUAGGUUUUCUAAUAAUGUAACAAAAUUUUCUAAUCGAAAAGCUCAAAAAUAUUUACUAGUCGUGGAUAAAAUAUAGUAUUCUACUCGUGUAUGACUAGUUAUUAUUCAUAUAUUCAAUAAUAACCUUCAUUAUAUACUCGAUGUUGUAAAUUUGACAAAUAAUGUACAUCUUUGGAACACCAUAUUAUUACUAAUUAUUGGUUAUAACACAAAUCAAUUAAUCAAUUAUCACCUAGGUAUUUCUUACUUAAUAUUUGUAAUUUUGAAUAGUGGAUAGUCUAGCUGUAACUAAUAAGAAGUCAUCGAUUAUUUAGUAUUAAAGUUGAUAGAUAGAUGGA
Diorhabda carinulata is the source of this 2271-nucleotide long non-coding RNA. RefSeq lists it as uncharacterized. NCBI's taxonomy places the organism in Eukaryota, Metazoa, Arthropoda, Insecta, Coleoptera, Chrysomelidae. The transcript has 3 exons. The record is from RefSeq and is a predicted model, not a curated record.